Molecule: non-coding RNA, 220 nt
Organism: Paramuricea clavata
Lineage: Eukaryota; Metazoa; Cnidaria; Anthozoa; Malacalcyonacea; Plexauridae
Source: the annotation of a GenBank genome assembly
GGGGAACAAAAUAGGAUGAUUUUUAUCAUGCAUACUCUCAUAUUUUUUUCAAAAGAAGCAUAAAUCUGUGACGUUCUAGAGAGGACGUGAAAAUUGAAUUUUCGCGUCGUGAAAUUGUCCAAGACGACGUGGCAAAUCAGAAGCUGACGAUAGUUGGCGCCAAAUGACGCCAUCCACGUCGUCUUUGAGGUCGCGUCGUCUAUUCUAAAUCUGUCUAAUA